RNAcentral lists this ribosomal RNA (252 nucleotides) under uncultured prokaryote. RNAcentral's name for it is "partial 16S ribosomal RNA". It matches the Rfam family "Bacterial small subunit ribosomal RNA", at positions 525 to 777 of the family's 1533-position model. The record is from RNAcentral.
ACGUAGGGACCAAGCGUUGUUCGGAUUUACUGGGCGUAAGGGCGCGUAGGCGGCGUGACAAGUCACUUGUGAAAUCUCCGGGCUUAACCCGGAACUGCCAAGUGAUACUGUCGUGCUAGAGUGCGGAAGGGGCAAUCGGAAUUCUCGGUGUAGCGGUGAAAUGCGUAGAUAUCGAGAGGAACACCUGCGGCGAAGGCGGGUUGCUGGGCUGACACUGACGCUGCAGCGCGAAAGCCAGGGGAGCGAACGGGA